UGGUGUAGGUAACUGCUCACCAAGCCGACGAUGGAUAGGGGAACUGAGAGGUUGGUCCCCCACACUGGCACUGAGACACGGACCAGACUCCUACGGGAGGCAGCAGUGAGGAAUCUUGGUCAAUGGACGCAAGUCUGAACCAGCCAUGUCGCGUGAAGGAGGACGGCCCUAAGGGUUGUAAACUUCUUUUGCAGUGGAAUAAAGUUUGCCACGUGUUGGCGAUUUGCAAGUACGCUGCGAAUAAGGAUCGGCUAACUCCGUGCCAGCAGCCGCGGUAAUACGGAGGAUCCGGGCGUUAUCCGGAUUUAUUGGGUUUAAAGGGUGCGCAGGCGGGGAAUUAGGUCGGCGGUGAAAUUUCGGGGCUCAACCUCGACAGUGCCGUUGAAACCGUUUCUCUUGAGUGCGGAUGAGGUAGGCGGAAUUUGUGGUGUAGCGGUGAAAUGCGUAGAUAUCACAAGGAACACCGAUUGCGGAGGCAGCUUACUAAACCGUUACUGACGCUCAUGCACGAAGGCGUGGGGAUCAAACAGGAUUAGAUACCCUGGUAGUCCACGCAGUAAACGAUGAUUACUUGCUGUUUGCGAUACACAGUAAGCGGCGUAGCGAA
Molecule: ribosomal RNA, 607 nt
Filed under: uncultured bacterium
Lineage: Bacteria
Description: bacterial SSU rRNA
Rfam family: Bacterial small subunit ribosomal RNA
Source: RNAcentral